GACGAACGCUGGCGGCGUGCUUAACACAUGCAAGUCGAACGGACAGGCCCUGCUUUUGUGGGGUGCUCGAGUGGCGAACGGGUGAGUAACACGUGAGUAACCUGCACUUGACUUUGGGAUAACUUCAGGAAACUGGGGCUCAUACCGGAUAGGAGCUCUUGCUGCAUGGGGGGGGUUGGAAAGUUUCGGCGGUUGGGGCUGGACUCGCGGCUUAUCCGCUUGAUGGUGGGGUAGUGGCUUACCAAGGCAUUGAGGGGUAGCCGGCCUGAGAGGGGGACCGGCCACAUGGGGACUGCGGUACGGCCCAGACGGCAACGGGAGGCAGCAGGCGGGAAUAUUGCACAAUGGGCGGAAGCCUGAUGCAGCAACGCCGCGUGCGGGAUGACGGCCUUCGAGUUGUAAACCGCUGUCGCCUUUGACGAAGCGGGAGUGACGGUAAUGGGUAAGGGAGCACCGGCUAACUACGUG
RNAcentral lists this ribosomal RNA (468 nucleotides) under uncultured bacterium. RNAcentral describes it as "partial 16S ribosomal RNA". It matches the Rfam family "Bacterial small subunit ribosomal RNA", at positions 28 to 507 of the family's 1533-position model. The record is from RNAcentral.